This is a long non-coding RNA of Arabidopsis thaliana (thale cress), 267 nucleotides long. RefSeq annotates it as other RNA. The transcript has a single exon. NCBI's taxonomy places the organism in Eukaryota, Viridiplantae, Streptophyta, Magnoliopsida, Brassicales, Brassicaceae. The record is from RefSeq.
UGAGUUUUAGAACGAUCCUUAAUGCAUUAUUGAUUGACUGAUGUAUUCAUUUCCAUGAAUCCUUGAAACUAUUCUCAUUGCCUAAUGUUUUACAACUCUCGUUUACAUUGAGUUCACGAUAAACUUUUCUUUUUUUUUUUGCUUUGUAGCUUAAUUUGAACCAUCUUUUAUUGUUUGGACAAAAAGUUUUGAACCAUAAAGUAAUCUGUUGGUUUUUGGGGAUUUGAUACCCAACCACAACUUCCUAUCUUCAUGUUGGAGCCCUAC